GAUGAAGAACGUAGCGAAAUGCGAUAAGUAAUGCGAAUUGCAGAAUUCAGUGAGUCAUCGAAUCUUUGAACGCACAUUGCGCCCUGUGGUAUUCCGCAGGGCAUGUCUGUUCGAGCGUCAUUUCAACCCUCAAGCCUCGCUUGGUGUUGGGCCCUGCCCGCCGCGGCCGGCCCUAAAGAUAGUGGCGGCGCCGCCUGGCCCUCAGCGUAGUACAGCUCUCGCUCCAGGGUCCGGCGGCAGCCUGCCAGAACCCCCCAACUCUGUGGUUGACCUCGGAUCAGGUAGGGAUACCCGCUGAACUUAAGCAUAUCAAUAAGCGGAGGA
This 324-nucleotide unclassified non-coding RNA is filed under the name soil metagenome. RNAcentral's name for it is "partial contains 5.8S ribosomal RNA, internal transcribed spacer 2, and large subunit ribosomal RNA". The stretch from base 1 to 120 matches the Rfam family "5.8S ribosomal RNA", at positions 35 to 154 of the family's 154-position model. The record is from RNAcentral.